GAAAGUAAAUAAGGGCGCAUGGCGGAUGCCUUGGCUCUCGGAGGCGAUGAAGGACGUGAUAAGCUGCGAUAAGCUUCGGGUAGGUGCAAAUGACCUUUGAUCCGAAGAUUUCCGAAUGGGACAACCCGGCAUUCUGAAGGAAUGUCAUCCAACCUGGUUGGAGGCUAACGCAGGGAACUGAAACAUCUUAGUACCUGCAGGAAAAGAAAAUAAAUAAUGAUUCCCCUAGUAGUGGCGAGCGAACGGGGAUUAGCCCAAACCACCCAUGUUACGGCAUGUGUGGGGUUGUAGGACCACGCUCUCGCAAGACAGUUAUUGAGAAGAAACGACUGGAAAGUCGUGCCAUAGACGGUGAUAGCCCGGUAUUCUAAGGUAACCGAAGCGUAGUGGUAUCCUGAGUAGCGCGGAGCACGAGGAAUUCUGCGUGAAUCAGCCGGGACCAUCCGGUAAGGCUAAAUACUCCCGAGAGACCGAUAGCGAACCAGUACUGUGAAGGAAAGGUGAAAAGCACUUCGAAUAGAAGAGUGAAAUAGUCCCUGAAACCAUGCGCCUACAAGCGGUCGGAGCAGCGUAAGUUGUGACGGCGUGCCUUUUGCAUAAUGAACCUACGAGUUACUUUUUCCGGCAAGGUUAAGCAUCUUGAGAUGUGGAUCCGAAGCGAAAGCGAGUCUGAACAGGGCGGAUAGUCGGAAGGAGUAGACGCGAAACCAAGUGAUCUACCCUUGGGCAGGUUGAAGGUUAGGUAACACUAACUGGAGGACCGAACCGAUAAGCGUUGAAAAGCUUCCGGAUGACCUGAGGGUGGGGGUGAAAGGCUAAUCAAACUUGGAGAUAGCUCGUACUCCCCGAAAUGCAUUUAGGUGCAGCCUUGAGAGUUACUAAUGUGAGGUAGAGCGACUGAUAAGAUGCGAGGGCUUCACCGCCUAUCAAGUCUUGAUAAACUCCGAAUGCGCAUUAGUUCUAUCUCAGGAGUGAGGGCAUGGGUGCUAAGGUCCAUGUCCUAAAGGAGAAGAAUCCAGACCAUCAGCUAAGGUCCCCAAAUAAACACUAAGUUGAACUAACGAAGUCAGAUUGCUAAGACAGCUAGGAUGUUGGCUUGGAAGCAGCCAUUCAUUUAAAGAGUGCGUAACAGCUCACUAGUCGAGGAGUUUGGCGUGGAUAAUAAUCGGGCAUAAGUGUUUUACCGAAGCUAUGGGAUCCUAAUGGAUCGGUAGGGGAGCAUUCCACUCAGCGUUGAAGGCGAAGCGUGAGCUUUACUGGAGCGUGUGGAAAAGCAAAUGUAGGUAUAAGUAACGAUAAAGGGGGUGAGAAACCCCCUCGCCGCAAGACUAAGGUUUCCUGAUCAACGCUAAUCGGAUCAGGGUUAGUCGGGUCCUAAGGCUCAGCCGAACGGUGAGGCCGAUGGCAGAACAGGUUAAUAUUCCUGUACUACCUAUAAGAGUGAUGUGGAGACGGAGGAGUGACAACGCCGCGGACUGACGGAAUAGUCCGUUAAAGGGUGUAGAUGUUGAUUAUCCCAGGCAAAUCCGGGAUAAGAGUCGAACCUGAUAGUAUACCAAUUUCCCCGGAAAACGGUAAUAGUGCGUGUAAACAUACUCCCAAGAAAAUCCGCUAAACUUAAUCUUAUAGGUACCCGUACCGUAAACGGACACACGUAGUCGGGUUGAAUAUACUCAGGCGCUUGAGUGAAUCACGGUUAAGGAACUAGGCAAAUUGACCCUGUAACUUCGGGAUAAAGGGUCCCUACCCGGUGACGGGAGGGCGCAGAGAAUAGGUCCAGGCAACUGUUUAACAAAAACACAGGGCUGUGCAAAAUUGAAAGAUCACGUAUACAGCCUGACACCUGCCCGGUGCUGGAAGGUUAAGAGGAGAUGUCAUCGCAAGAGAAGCAUUGAAUUGAAGCCCCAGUAAACGGCGGCCGUAACUAUAACGGUCCUAAGGUAGCGAAAUUCCUUGUCGGGUAAGUUCCGACCUGCACGAAUGG
Molecule: ribosomal RNA, 1984 nt
Filed under: human gut metagenome
Description: bacterial LSU rRNA
Rfam family: Bacterial large subunit ribosomal RNA
Source: RNAcentral